GCCUCUAAGGAUGAUCAAAAACAUUCUUCUGAGCUGUCAAUGUGGAAAUUACAUGGAGACCUGAACUGAAGAGGC
This is a small nucleolar RNA of Arachis stenosperma, 75 nucleotides long. RefSeq annotates it as small nucleolar RNA Z159/U59. Lineage: Eukaryota; Viridiplantae; Streptophyta; Magnoliopsida; Fabales; Fabaceae. The transcript has a single exon. The record is from RefSeq and is a predicted model, not a curated record.